This 482-nucleotide ribosomal RNA is filed under the name uncultured bacterium. RNAcentral's name for it is "partial 16S ribosomal RNA". It matches the Rfam family "Bacterial small subunit ribosomal RNA", at positions 28 to 501 of the family's 1533-position model. The record is from RNAcentral.
GACGAACGCUGGCGGCGUGCUUAACACAUGCAGGUCGAACGAUGAACCCGGAGCUUGCUCCGGCGGAUUAGUGGCGAACGGGUGAGUAACACGUGAGUAACCUGCCCUUGACUCUGGGAUAACUGCUAGAAAUGGUAGCUAAUACCGGAUACGACCCUCGGUGGCAUCGCCAGGGGGUGGAAAGAAUUUCGGUCAAGGAUGGACUCGCGGCCUAUCAGCUAGUUGGUGAGGUAACGGCUCACCAAGGCGACGACGGGUAGCCGGCCUGAGAGGGUGACCGGCCACACUGGGACUGAGACACGGCCCAGACUCCUACGGGAGGCAGCAGUGGGGAAUAUUGCACAAUGGGCGCAAGCCUGAUGCAGCAACGCCGCGUGAGGGAUGACGGCCUUCGGGUUGUAAAGCACUUUUGUCAGGGAAGAAAACUGUUUGGCUAAUACCCGAAUAGGAUGACGGUACCUGAAGAAUAAGCACCGGCUAAC